Long non-coding RNA from Anopheles arabiensis, 3666 nucleotides. RefSeq lists it as uncharacterized. The record is from RefSeq and is a predicted model, not a curated record. Lineage: Eukaryota; Metazoa; Arthropoda; Insecta; Diptera; Culicidae. The transcript is spliced from 7 exons.
AAGCCGGCAUUGUAAAACAGAACCAAACAAAACAUUUAAAAAAAAUGAAUGUAAAUCAGAACGGAUCAGGACCGGGAACGGCGUCAGGACAGCGAUCGAAAUCGCAAUCGGGACCUGGACUAGCAACGAUAUCAGUACUGACACCGAUAUCAGGACGAGUACCGGUAUCUGUACUGGCACCGGUAUCAGGACGGGCACUGGCAUCAGGACAGGCACCGGUAUCAGGACGGGCUUCGGGAAUAGGGCUGGCAUCGGGAUCAGGCCUGGCAUCGGGAGCAGGACUGGCACCGGUAUCAAGACUGGCACCGAUUUCAGGACGAGCAUCAGGAUCAGGACGGACACCGGUAUCAGGACGCGCUUCGGGAUCAGGCCUGGCAUCGGGAUCAGGACUGGCUUCGGGAGCAGGACUGGCAUCGGUAUCAGGACUGGCACAGAUUUCAGGACGGGCAUCGGGAGCAGGACGGGCUUCGGGAUCAGGCCUGGAAUCGGGAGCAGGACUGGCUUCGGGAUCAGGACGUGAACCGCGUAAAUAUAUGCGUGAGGACGUGGAGCUCUGCUUACGGAUGGCUAAUGCGGUAGAAAAACAGAACAUCAUCUACAAUAAAAAAUCUCCGCAUUACAAAAACCGAGACCGUCAAAAAGAUAAUGGAUGUGUGUCGCAGAAGAGGUCGGGUUGACCAUGGCAGAGGCCAAAAAAAAUGUGGCACAACAUGCUGGCCAAAUAUCGGUCACACCGAUCCAAAGUGCGCCAGAGCAUGCAGACCGGGUCAGCUUAUCCUGAUGAUGAUGAUGAUGUUGAAAUAUCCCACACCAUACAUAAUGCUACUGACGGAAGUGUUGCUCCGUCGCAGUGCCUAACGCUGGUGCUAAACACGGUUAUAUUUUUCCUUUUGGAUACCGGAGAGUGUCUCCGAAGAACGUGCGAUUUUGUUAAUGUUGUGUAAACGCGCUUUCGUUAUUUAGGCUCUGAUAGCUCAUAUACUGUUAAGUUGAUGACCGUAUAUAGGUUAGCUAACAGUGCACUUUUGUUGGAGGUUUUUUUACUUUUUCUUGAGGUCGUAAGCCGCCAUAGCACUUCUAGGUGCCAUAGCACUUCACCCGUCAAAGGAUCUAGGUUGACGAAUCGUUAAGAGAUCAUUAUUAUUUAAAAAAAAAAACAAAAGUAAAAUACAAAUGUUGCUAUAAGCAAACAUACUCAGGUGAACGCGUCUGCAUUUCGAUCCCGCAACUCCUCCAAACAUGACCAAACCAGCACUGCACACCACAAAGAAUCCAGCAAACCAGCACCUUACCCGAUUCCCGCACUAAAAAUGCUUAAUCUUCCAUAUCAUCCCAUUAAGUGGUGGUGGUGAUGAGAAGAGAAAUUAGAGAUGAUUUAACAUCAUUUAAAACUCUUAUUAAUCCGUGUUUUUUCCAGGCGAUUUCUAUGACUGAUGAGGAAACUCUUCAGCUCAUUGAUGUCAUCUUUCGGCACUCCGCUAUUUGGGACAGAAAACACCCACAGUAUAAAAAUAUCAAUCGCAGAAAUGAUGACUGGAGCGUAAUUUCUGUUGAAAUAGGGCGUCUGUUGCGUACGACCUCAUUAUGAAGUAAAAGCAUUUAUGCGGAUGUAGCGAAGUAAAACACUUCAAGAUAAAACACCUUAAGUUAAAACAAAGUUCAAGCAAAACACGCCUCAAGCGAUAGCGCGCGCUUCAGAAAGCAACAAACAUAAACAGGUAGUCAACCGUUCUCACGGUUCAAACGAGGAAGUAACUUUACGCAAUUCAUAAACCAUAAACAUGUCACAUGUCGCAUUAAGUAUAAAUACAUCUUGUUAUCAAAAUAGUCAUAGUCACAGUUAGCUGACCUAUAUGCGGUCAGCAACUAAAUAGCAUAUAAGAGAUGAAAACCUAAAUAAAGUAAGCGCAUUCGAACACAAACCUCAGAAUCGCUCGUUUCUUAAUAGUCGGAGGCACUCUCCGGUCGACGAAGGAAAAAUAUACCCGACUCGGUGUAAAGCACCGGCGUUGGGCGCUGCGACGGAGCAACACAUCCGCCAGCAGCAUUAAUGGUGGCUCCAGAGAGGAACUAACGACCUCCUCGUAGUGAAUAGCACGUGAUUCAGACCAGCAUAAGCGCCGAAGCACCGUGAGUGAAAUAGAACGGCAACUAAGUGCGUAAAACAGCAAGUCCGCCAAAAAACCGCGAGUGAAAGUGCGUAAAAUAGUGAAGAUCACAACCGUGAGUGAAAUAGAUAGGCAACAAGGUGCGUAAACCAGCACGACCGCCAAAACACCGCGAGUUAAAGUGAGUGAAAUAGUAAGGAUCACAACCGUGAGUGAAAUAGAUCGGCAACAAGGUGCGCAAACCAGCACGACCGCCGAAACACCACGAGUGAAAGUGCGUAAAGUAAUAGGAAUCAGCACCGUGAGUGGAAUAGAUCGGGAAUAAGGUGCGUAAACCAGCACGACCGCCGAAACACCACAAAUGAAAGUGCACAAAGCAUUAAAAUCAACACCAGGAGUGAAAUAGAACGGCAAAUAAGUGCGUGACUAAGCACGACCGCCGAAACACCAUAAGAAUAAGGUGACAUCAUAAACAAAACCCGAGAACCGUUAGCGAACACAAGAGCACGGAGGGUACCGACAACGAUAUAAACAAACCAACGGCAAAACGUCAAAAAGCCAAAUCACCCAAAUGACAAUGGGACCCCCUAAAAAUUGGUCAAAAAAUGACAGAUUUUUGACAGGAUCGGAUUUUGGUUCGGAUUGAAUCAAAAUCCGAUCUUCUCAGAGGUGAGCGAAUCAAUAGUGAGAAAGCCAUGGUGAGUAGCCAUAGUGAAUUAUCGAAAAAAAGCCAAAUCUCACGCCUUUCAAUGUGCGUUUUUGUUUCGUGUGGCCAUGGCUGCAUAUACGUCAUAUCUGUUGUACCUGCGGUGUGUGUUGUGUGGUAUUGUGUGUCGGUGUGAAUUUUGUGCAGCGUGUGGAAGUUACUGGUGGAAAGUGGGUGGAAGGGACAAUGUGUAAACUUUUAUUGUGUUGAAUUUAACCGCGGUGUGGCUGGUGUCGAUCCAUGUGCUGGUGUUCAUCAUCCCGGGUGUGCUGUACAUAGGCUAUUCCUCGCGCGCUAGGACGAUGCAGUUACAAAGCAGCAAAAUGCGGCGCUCAAUGAACGACGGUAGUGCGGUAAAAUCAUGCAUAGCCUGUUACGCGGUAAGGUGCUUUUUGAAGCGUUUGUUUUAGAUUUCUGCUCUGAUUUUAUAGUUAGUAACAAAGAUCAACCUAAAUCUGGAUUAUAUUAAUGAUGGUAAAUUUGGGAUCGUCAAAUACGGCUAGUGUGGAGUAGGACAUGUCCGUCGCGGAGUCGUAAGUUCAAGUAUAGAGUGGAUCGAGCCCCGUCCGGCUGCAAUGACUGAUUUAUCCAGCUGCGUCGUAUUGAAUGAGUCUCAAACGUUGUAAUAGGCUGGCAUGAUCGAGCAGGUCGUUACACCUAAUCGAUAAAGUUUUAAAAAUAAAAUGCGAUAAAAACUAAUACGGUUGAGAUAAAUUUGAAAAGAAACCCCGAUUUGUGGGGAUGAUUUGUUUUAUUUAAGUUGUAUUAUAGAGCGCAAUAUAUGUAUACGUUGAACUUAAGUUUAGUAAAGUAAAUAUAACUAUUAGUCAAAUAUAUUGGGAAUACGCUUAA